GUGCCAGCAGCCGCGGUAAGACGAACCGUGCGAACGUUAUUCGGAAUCACUGGGCUUAAAGGGUGUGUAGGCGGUCUGCCAAGUCAGGGGUGAAAUCCUUCGGCUCAACCGGAGAACUGCCCCUGAUACUGGCGGGCUAGAGGGAGACAGAGGCAGCCGGAACUACCGGUGGAGCGGUGAAAUGCGUUGAUAUCGGUAGGAACGCCAGAGGCGAAAGCGGGCUGCUGGAUCUCUUCUGACGCUGAGACACGAAAGCUAGGGGAGCGAACGGGAUUAGAAACCCGUGUAGUCC
RNAcentral lists this ribosomal RNA (292 nucleotides) under uncultured bacterium. RNAcentral's name for it is "partial 16S ribosomal RNA". It matches the Rfam family "Bacterial small subunit ribosomal RNA", at positions 505 to 796 of the family's 1533-position model. The record is from RNAcentral.